AAAUCAGCUUAGAAAACAAACACAGAACAACUUCAAUCAUCUAACGUACCCUGAACUGAGGUACACUGGACCUACCAUGUGAAUCUCCACUUCGGGUGAGCAGCCACGUAGAUGAGCAGAGAGAUGAAGAUCAGGAGAAUAUCCAAACAACUACCGUUACCAAGGAGAAAAGACUUCACAUUUCAAAGAGCUGCAGUGGUUUCAUACCGUGCUGACGUCGAGCGGCAGAAUGAAGACGAUGAGGAAGCAGAGGUACCAGGACAGCAGCGUCCCUAACAGGACCAUCCGCUGCUGUUUCCGCAGAUCUCCAUAGCGCUGGAGGAGGUAGAGGGCCAAGAGGAAGACUACUACGACCACAACAGCCAGCGCAGCACCACUCAUGGCGAUGAAUGAAGAGACGGACGUCAGGAACUCAUGAUGACACACUGGAGGGGGAAAAGAGAAAGAAACAAACUGAUUGGAUAUCAGCUCUUAUCUGCUGGAUAACAGGGAGAAACAGUAUGACCUGAACACUCACUACAUGAUACAGCGAUAUGAGUUAAGGAGUUGAGGAGGGAGAGAGCAGGAGGACAUGAAAGAACAAAUGAGGGAAACAUUUAAAAUUAAAGACAAGACAUUAAACGAGACAGAUGUAGAAAAAUUAAAGGGUAUAAAUAAAAAAAAUUAAAGGA
Molecule: long non-coding RNA, 671 nt
Organism: Sebastes umbrosus (honeycomb rockfish)
Lineage: Eukaryota; Metazoa; Chordata; Actinopteri; Perciformes; Sebastidae
Exons: 2
Source: RefSeq, a predicted model, not a curated record